Molecule: long non-coding RNA, 394 nt
Organism: Asparagus officinalis (garden asparagus)
Lineage: Eukaryota; Viridiplantae; Streptophyta; Magnoliopsida; Asparagales; Asparagaceae
Exons: 2
Source: RefSeq, a predicted model, not a curated record
AUAUGGCAAAGGUUGUCCAUGAUUGCAAAAUUCCAAGUGGUGAAGGGUUAAUACUUUAUGUAUUGGAUGGAACCGACACUCCUCCUGUAACUUUUAAAUCAAAGGGGACAACCAGUACAGAUUAAACGGACAAGCAAUAGAAUUCAAGCAGCUGAACAUCCAUGUUUGGGAAGCCUUUGAGAAGGGGUAGAAUAUCACAAGCAGGGGAUAGAGGAUAGAAGAAUGUAAAAAGAUUAUAAAUAUAUCUCAUUUCAUUCCAAUUUUAAAUAAAUAUAUAAAUAGAAAAUUAGUUAUUAUCUAUGUAACCAAUUUAUGUAUCGCUCUAGUAUUUUGGUGAAUGUAUUAUUUGAAUAUAAUUGGAUUUGAUAUUAAAAUAUAAUUAGAUUGUGUUGGA